Molecule: ribosomal RNA, 254 nt
Filed under: uncultured bacterium
Lineage: Bacteria
Description: partial 16S ribosomal RNA
Rfam family: Bacterial small subunit ribosomal RNA
Source: RNAcentral
UACGUAGGGACCAAGCGUUGUUCGGAUUUACUGGGCGUAAAGGGCGCGUAGGCGGCAUGACAAGUCACUUGUGAAAUCUCUGGGCUUAACCCAGAACGGCCAAGUGAUACUGUCGCGCUAGAGUGCGGAAGGGGCAAUCGGAAUUCUCGGUGUAGCGGUGAAAUGCGUAGAUAUCGAGAGGACCACCUGAGGUGAAGACGGGUUGCUGGGCCGACACUGACGCUGAGUGCGCGAAAGCCAGGGGAGCAAACGGG